AUACACGGGUCUCUUUUAAUUUCCUCGCAAAAUAAAAGAAAUUUAAGAUAAAUAUUCCGUAGGAAUGACUAAUAAGCAUCCCUUCCACAGUUUUCCAUUUCAUUUCCAUCUCACUUUCUCUUUCUAGCAACCAUGGUUUCAACUCUUUUAUGGCUUCAUCCUCUACCCCUCUUCCCCUCUCCUCCUCACACUUCAAUCUUACGAAACUCUAGCACUAGAUCAAUCUUGUUGUCGAAUCGCUGCAUCGUAAUCGCUACUAGCUAGUCAAACACCAGUUCCUCUCUCUCCUCCAACCAACAGUCACAACUCACAACCUUCCGCCAACUUCCGCCACAUAUCGCCACCUCUUCGUUGCUUCCCCAAUCACUUCCACCGCUUACAUUAGCGUGGAGUAUUACCAGUUCACUGAAGUCCCAUCCAGUUCUUCAUUUCCAUCAAAAACACCUGUUGCUAUAGGGGCACCAGAAGAAUAAAUGAUCAUGGUCUUCAUCUCCUUGACCACAAAUCAGGCAUCUUGCAGAGGGACUGAUGCCUAUUCUUGUAAGCUUGGUUGUAGUUUGUAGCCUAAAUUGAAUUACACGCCAAACAAUGAAUCUGUGUUUAUGUUGUUAAUUUCUUGGAUUGUAAUGAUUACAGAUAAUUAUUUCAUUGA
Long non-coding RNA from Spinacia oleracea (spinach), 652 nucleotides. RefSeq lists it as uncharacterized. The transcript has 2 exons. The record is from RefSeq and is a predicted model, not a curated record. NCBI's taxonomy places the organism in Eukaryota, Viridiplantae, Streptophyta, Magnoliopsida, Caryophyllales, Amaranthaceae.